UCUAACAGUCUACCUUAGGGGAGGAGUU
Molecule: small RNA, 28 nt
Filed under: Bombyx mori (domestic silkworm)
Lineage: Eukaryota; Metazoa; Arthropoda; Insecta; Lepidoptera; Bombycidae
Description: ovarian small RNA-7678
Source: RNAcentral